This is a non-coding RNA of Potamilus streckersoni, 77 nucleotides long. The record is from the annotation of a GenBank genome assembly. NCBI's taxonomy places the organism in Eukaryota, Metazoa, Mollusca, Bivalvia, Unionida, Unionidae.
GACCGCUCCGGUGGCUUAGUGGUUAGAGCGUCCGCCUCAGAUGCGGUAGGUCGUAGGUUCGAACCCCGGCCGAGUCA